UAGGCGGUGCCCGAAAGGCCUUAAAAGAGUAGGGG
Molecule: non-coding RNA, 35 nt
Submitted as: unclassified sequences
Source: Rfam